RNAcentral lists this ribosomal RNA (253 nucleotides) under uncultured bacterium. RNAcentral's name for it is "partial 16S ribosomal RNA". It matches the Rfam family "Bacterial small subunit ribosomal RNA", at positions 524 to 776 of the family's 1533-position model. The record is from RNAcentral.
UACGGAGGGUGCGAGCGUUGUCCGGAAUCACUGGGCGUAAAGGGCGCGUAGGCGGCAUGCCAAGCGUGUGGUGAAAGCCCGGGGCUCAACCCUGGGAUGCCGGUGGAUACUGUCGGGCUCGAGUCCGGAAGAGGCGAGUGGAAUUCCUGGUGUAGCGGUGAAAUGCGCAGAUAUCAGGAGGAACACCAAUGGCGAAGGCAGCUCGCUGGGACGUGACUGACGCUGAGACGCGAAAGCGUGGGGAGCAAACAGG